This is a long non-coding RNA of Uloborus diversus, 163 nucleotides long. RefSeq lists it as uncharacterized. Lineage: Eukaryota; Metazoa; Arthropoda; Arachnida; Araneae; Uloboridae. The record is from RefSeq and is a predicted model, not a curated record. The transcript is spliced from 3 exons.
GGUUUAAGAGGAGAUCCAGGACAAGUGGGCAAACCAGGACCACCAGGGCCACCGGGACUACCAGGAAAAGAUGGUCUUUCAGGAGUCUCAUUAGACAUACCAGCUGUUUCGGGAAUUCAAGGAAUUCCUGGAGAACUAGGAGAACCUGGACCGAAAGGCGAAC